AAGGCGCGAAACCUUCGCAAUGCGCGCAAGCGUGACGAGGGAACUCUAAGUGUCUCUCAAAAAGAGAGACUUUUAUAGUAUGUAAAAAGUACUAUGAAUAAGGACAGGUCAAGACUAGUGCCAGCCUCCGCGGUAAAACUAGCUGUUCAAGUGGUAGUCACGAUUAUUGGGCUUAAAGCGUCCGUAGCCGGUUUAGAAAGUUUUCUGUGUAAUCCUUAGGCUUAACUUAAAGGACUUGCAGGAAAUACUUCUAAACUAGGGGAUGGGAUGGGUUGAGGGAAUUCCUGGGGUAGCGGCGAAAUGCUAUAAUCCUAGGAAGACCACCGAUGGCGAAGGCACUCAACUGGAACAUGCUCGACGGUGAGGGACGAGAGCUAGGGGAGCAAACCGGAUUAGAUACCCGGGUAGUCCUAGCUGUAAACGAUGCAGACUGAGUGUUUCUUGAACUUUGGGUUCAAGAAGUGCUGAAGGGAAACCGUUAAGUCUGCCGUCUGGGGAGUACGGUAGCAAGACUGAAACUUAAAGGAAUUGGCGGGGGAGGAC
RNAcentral lists this ribosomal RNA (543 nucleotides) under uncultured archaeon. RNAcentral's name for it is "bacterial SSU rRNA". It matches the Rfam family "Archaeal small subunit ribosomal RNA", at positions 336 to 879 of the family's 1478-position model. The record is from RNAcentral.